Molecule: ribosomal RNA, 430 nt
Filed under: uncultured bacterium
Lineage: Bacteria
Description: partial 16S ribosomal RNA
Rfam family: Bacterial small subunit ribosomal RNA
Source: RNAcentral
AACGAACGCUGGCGGCAGGCUUAACACAUGCAAGUCGAGCGCCCCGCAAGGGGAGCGGCAGACGGGUGAGUAACGCGUGGGAACGUACCUUUUGGUUCGGAACAACUCCGGGAAACUGGAGCUAAUACCGGAUAAGCCCUAACGGGGAAAGAUUUAUCGCCGAAAGAUCGGCCCGCGUCUGAUUAGCUAGUUGGUGAGGUAACGGCUCACCAAGGCGACGAUCAGUAGCUGGUCUGAGAGGAUGAUCAGCCACACUGGGACUGAGACACGGCCCAGACUCUGAGGGGAGGAGGGAGGGGGGAAUAUGGAACAGGGGGCGAAGGCCUGACCCACCCGUGCCGGGGGAGGAAGGAGGGCUUUGGGUUUGAAAACCUCUUUGGCCGGGGAAGAUAAUGCCUUAACGGAAAGAAAAACCCCCGCUAACUUCCGU